UGGGGAAUAUUGCACAAUGGGGGAAACCCUGAUGCAGCGACGCCGCGUGAGCGAAGAAGGCUUUCGAGUCGUAAAGCUCUGUCCUAUGAGAAGAUAAUGACGGUAUCAUAGGAGGAAGCCCUGGCUAAAUACGUGCCAGCAGCCGCGGUAAUACGUAUGGGGCGAGCGUUGUCCGGAAUUAUUGGGCGUAAAGCGCGCGCAGGUGGUUUAGAAAGUCUGAUGUGAAAGCCCACGGCUCAACCGUGGAGGGUCAUUGGAAACUAAUAAACUUGAGUGCAGGAGAGAAAAGUGGAAUUCCUAGUGUGGCGGUGAAAUGCGUAGAGAUUAGAAGGAACACCGGUGGCGAAAGCGGCUUUUUGGCCUGCAACUGACACUGAGGCGCGAAAGCGUGGGGAGCAAACAGG
RNAcentral lists this ribosomal RNA (404 nucleotides) under Verrucomicrobiota bacterium. RNAcentral describes it as "Verrucomicrobia bacterium partial 16S ribosomal RNA". It matches the Rfam family "Bacterial small subunit ribosomal RNA", at positions 355 to 776 of the family's 1533-position model. Lineage: Bacteria; Pseudomonadati; Verrucomicrobiota. The record is from RNAcentral.